This 2742-nucleotide ribosomal RNA is filed under the name Triticum aestivum (bread wheat). RNAcentral's name for it is "partial small subunit ribosomal RNA". Lineage: Eukaryota; Viridiplantae; Streptophyta; Magnoliopsida; Poales; Poaceae. The record is from RNAcentral.
AUGGAGAGAACUCCCCGAGCAAUCCUCUUCCUCUUCCUCUUGCUCCUUGUCGAUCCCGGCGUAGCUCAGAACACCACCACCGGCAAAGCAGACGAGUUCCAUGUCGGAGUGAUCCUCAAUCUGGGCUCGCUGGUGGGAAAAGUAGCACGAACCAGCAUUUCACUGGCCGUCAAAGACUUCUACGCGGUCCACCAGAUUUACAGCACAAAGCUUGUCCUCCAUUUCAGGGAUUCCAUGGCCAGUGAUGUAAAGGCUGCAUCAGCAGCGAUUGAAUUACUGGAUAAUUACAAACUGCAAGCCAUCAUUGGUCCCCAGAAAUCAUCAGAAGCUGUAUUCAUCUCCAAGAUCGGAAAUAUAACCCAAGUCCCCACAGUAUCCUUCACAGCAACAAGCCCCUCUCUCACUUCAGAUACUAUGCCAUAUUUUGUGCGUGCAACAUUGAAUGACUCAGCUCAGGUGAAUAGCAUUGCCUCGCUUGUAAAAGCCUAUGGAUGGAGAGAAGUGGUGCUAGUAUAUGAAAACACUGACUAUGGUAGAGGCAUUCUACCAUACCUCAUUAGUGCACUUCAAGAGAGUGAUGUUCAUGUCCCGUAUCAGAGUGUUAUCCCCCCAUCAGCAACAAGUGAAAUCAUGAUGCAAGAACUCUAUAAGUUGAUGACAAUGCAAACAAGGGUGUUUAUUGUUCAUAUGUCAUCCACGAUGACUUACCUUCUUUUUACAAAGGCCAAAGAGGAAGGGAUGAUGGACAAAGGAUUUGCGUGGAUUACUACAAACGGAGUAGCAAACAUCAUCGACUCACUCAAUCCAAGUGUGACCGAGGUGAUGAAUGGUGUACUGGGAGUAAGGUACCAUGUCCCCAAAUCAAAAGAGCUUGAUAGUUUCUCCAUAAGGUGGAACAGAAUGUACCAACAGGAUAACCCAGAUGAAUCACCCUUCAAUAAGCUAAGCAUUGUUGGACUACGGGCCUAUGAUACGAUAUGGGCAUUAGCACAGGCAGCAGAAAAGGUUGGGAUAUCCAGUGCCCCAAAUAAGCAACCAUGGUCCAUUAAGAACUCCACAUGCUUGGAAUCCAUGGUUAUUUCCCCAAAUGGUCCAAAACUCUUAGCAGCAAUUGUACAAAAUAAGUUUAGAGGUAUAAGUGGCGACUUUGACCUUACAGACAAACAGCUUAAAGUUUCUGUGUUCCAAAUAAUAAAUGUGGUUGGGAGAGGUUGGAGAGAAAUCGGGUUUUGGAGUGUCAAAAGUGGACUGUCACGGCAGUUGAAUCAAAAUGGCUUAAAAACAACAGGAUCAGCCUCAAUGCUUGAUCUAAAUCCUGUAAUUUGGCCAGGAGAGUCAACUGAAAUACCGAGGGGCUGGGAAAUUCCUAUAAAUGGUAAGAAGCUUAGAGUCGGUGUGCACACGAGCAAUUGCCCAGAGUUUAUAAAGACAUUCAGAGAUCCUGUUACAAAUGUAACAAGUGCGAGUGGCCUUUCAGUUGACAUAUUUGAGGAGGCAAUAAAGAGGCUACCUUUUGCACUUACUUAUGAGUACCUGGCAUUUGACACAGCUGAUACAGCAACUACAGGAAGCUAUAACGAUUUUAUUUAUCAAGUUUAUCUUCAGAAAUACGACAUAGCGGUUGGAGAUAUUACUGUAAGGUACAAUAGAUCAUUGUAUGUCGACUUCACUGUACCGUACACAGAAUCUGGAGUAGGGAUGAUUGUUCCAGUCAAGGAAAACAUGAUCAAGAAUAUGUGGAUUUUCUUGAAACCAUUGAGCACUGGAAUGUGGUUUGGAAGCAUCAUAUUCUUUAUUUACACAGGAGUUGUUGCCUGGCUUCUGGAGUAUCUAAAUGGCAAUCAACAUGUACAUGGUCCCUUUUCACUCAAACAAGUGGGGAUUACAAUGUUCUUCUCCAUUUUUGAAGAGAAGGAGAAGCUGGAACGAUUUCUAUCCAGAAUUGUUCUACUUGUAUGGAUGUUUGUUUUUCUGGUACUUACAUCAAGUUAUACAGCAAGCUUUGCAUCAAUGCUGACUGUACAGCAGCUUUCACCGACAGUGACUGAUGUUCAUGAACUCCAGAGGAAAGGAGAAUAUGUAGGGUUCCACCGUGGUUCCUAUAUAGAGGGUCUACUGGUGGAUAUUGGUUUUGAAAAAUCAAAGAUGAGGCCCUACGAAACACAGGAAGAUUUCGCUGCUGCUCUUUCUAAAGGAAGCAAAGAUGGUGGCAUUGCUGCGCUUGUACAUGAAAUCCCCUACAUCAAACUGUUUCUUGCAAAGUACAGCAAAGGUUACACAAUGGUGGGACCUAUCUACAAGAGUGCAGGUUUUGCAUUUGCGCUUCCCAAGCAAUCACCACUAAGAGCUGAAAUGUCAAGGGCAAUACUCAACAUAACAGGAGAAGAUAGUAUCAAUGAAAUUGAAAAGAAAUGGAUAUAUCAAAACAGCCAUCAACAAGAGGAUAAAAUUGAUGGUUCAGGCGCAAUCACUUUUGAAAGUUUUGGGGGGUUAUUCCUCCUAACUGGGAUUGUGACAACCUGUUCUCUUGCUAUAGCCAUGCUGAUGAACCUCUACAAAAAAUAUCAACAAAAUGCAUGGAGCAAAGAAGACGAUCAAAAUGAAUGUGUACACGGGCAACAAGGAGAAAAUGGAGAUUCACAGGAAGAACAAGGAGAUCAAAACAGCAAUGAACACGGAAACUGCAGUGAUAUAGAGAAGCAGACAACAUUGACUGUGCAACUCAGUUCGAACACAGAGUGA